AAUAUUGGACAAUGGGGGCAACCCUGAUCCAGCCAUGGCGCGUGUUUGAAGUAUGUCUUCGGAUUGUAAAGCACUGUACGUUGGGAGGAAGUGCAGUAUGUUAAUACCUUGCUGUUUUCAUGUUACCGCCAGAAUAAGUACCGGCUAGCUUCGUGCCAGCAGCCGCGGUCAUACGAAGGGUGCAAGCGUUAAGCGGAAUUACUGGGCGUAAAGCGCGCGUAGGUGGUUUGUUAGGUUGGAAGUGACAGCCCAGGGCUCAACCAGGUAACUGAUUUCAAAACUGGCAAGCUAGAGUAUGGCAGAGGGUGGUGGAAUUUCCUGUGUAGCGGUGAAAUGCGUAGAUAUAGGAAGGAACACCAGUGGCGAAGGCGACCACCUGGGCUAAUACUGACACUGAGGUGCGAAAGCGUGGGGAGCAAAC
This 421-nucleotide ribosomal RNA is filed under the name uncultured bacterium. RNAcentral describes it as "partial 16S ribosomal RNA". It matches the Rfam family "Bacterial small subunit ribosomal RNA", at positions 360 to 773 of the family's 1533-position model. The record is from RNAcentral.